AGGUUCUUCAAAUAAUUCAAAAUGGCCGCCGCCUGGCGUAUUGGUAACAGUGGCUAGUGUUGUGACAACGAUCCCCAUGAUAAUUCUUAUUCUCAGGGAUUUAGUAAUCUAUCAUAGUUUUCGUGAAUAAUAGCAUUAUUAGAGUAUCUGACACCUGGUAUCGCAGUUUUACUAUGAAACCUUUUGACGAACAUUGAAUGGCUGUAAAGAAGAGUUUACAAUUUACAUCGAUCAUGCGAUAUUGUAAAACGAAAGUGAGCAAUCAGGUGCUCCUGGUAGUGAAAUUAAAACUUGUUUGUUAUAUUUGUAUAGCCAACCUUAUUAUGGUUAAGAUGUGGUUCCCACACGCAUUUAACAAUUUGGAAAGCCGACUUACUUUUUCAUUCAUUUAAAAGUCUAAUUUCCGUAAUGUACUCUCUUGAGUCUUGAGCAAAUGAAACCUUGAAUGAACUGGAAUUUUCACUUGGUGAACAUUUUGAACGCCAAUAUGUUCCAUUGGGAUAUUCGGCCACAUCAUCAACAAUCACAGGCUAUUCAAAAUAUCUAUGCAUCACCUAUUUAUGUGCCAGUUCCCGAUUCACUACCUUCCCAAAUCAAUUAACCGGAGCCAGUGGAACGUUUGGAUUCAAAAGAAAGAGUUUCUCAGUUGGAAGAUCUAUAGUGGAUGCUGGAACUACAGAAGAAGAUUCAGGAAUUGGAGUUUAGUUGGCAGGAAGCCAAAGCCAAACAAGCUGUUCCAGCCGGUUGUCAUUGACAAAUCGACAUCUGCAGCUAUUUCCACUGGAGCAAGAAGCCGAACUUUGUGUGCUCCUGAAAAGAAUUCUUCUACCUCAUCUUGUGUCUCUUCUAAAAUUCUGAUUGAAAUUGAUCUUCUGCACGUCCGAUUGAGCAAUGUGAUCACCUCAACCGGAGCUGUCGUUGUCAACCGUCGUCGCAUUGGAAAGAUAGCCGACAACUAUCAGGAGCCGAUUGGGCGUGGAGAAGUCUUCAAAGGAACUUGGCAUGGAUGUCAAGUAGCCGUCAAAGAAAUCCGCUCUCCUUGGCGUUGCAGCACAGUCGUCGAGGCUCGAUCGUUCGCCAAGAUGAUUAAACGAUAGGUUGAAGCCCUUUCAGCAGUCCGAUAUUAUUGGACUGCUCCGUAUUUGUAUGGAUAACGAAUCGAGUGAUGGUGAAACAUCGAAUAGAGUCUCGCUCUUCUUUCAAUUCCCCAACGGAGGGACUCUUUUUUGAAUGUCUUUUCGGUGGCCAAGCUAAAAACAGCAAAUUCAAAUUAGACGUGAAUCAAAUGAUGCUGAUCGCUCGCCAUCUCACCGCGAAACUCUCCAUCUACUGCAUUCCAGUCAGCAGAAACCGGGCGGUUCAGUUAUGGUCCACCGUGACGUGAAAUCCGCCAAUGUUUUACUGCAACGGGAUGACGAAGGAAGAGUCGUGCGAGCUGGUUUGGCCGAUUUAACGUCUUCAUUUGGAUCUUAACGAAAGUGGCUCCGGCUCUGGCCUAGCAGCCAGUUUCAUGACAGCCGUGGUAGGUAGCCACGGCUGUGUCCAUUUUAUGCGGAGAGUUCAAUCUACAGACGGGCCGGCCAGUUUGCAUGUCCUUCACGCUUGAAGGUCGCGGGGAAUAUUACGUAAAAGUGUCAUGCGACGGCGGAGAGGUUGGACCCAUCCCCAGCAACGUCAACCUAAAAAAGGAAAGGCAAGUUUCCAUUUUCGUCAAUUUCGAAGGUCACGGAGAUACCAUUACGUUAAACGUGUCAUGUGGAGUAGAGGUUGGGUGAGAAUGGGAAGUGUCAUCAUUAUCAAGCAGGUACAAUAGCCGCAAGACUUAAGAGGUUAGGGGUAGAAAAAAAAUCGUAUAAAAGGAGAGAGAAAAGGCAUUUGAAAUCAGUUGAGUGAGGAUCUCCAACAUGGCAACUGCUGUGCACAAUUCGUCACCAAAUGCAUUCUUCAUUCUAAAAUCAUUUCGCAAUGAGAAAAAAAAAGGUCAAAGAAAUCAGUCGAGUGAUCAUCUCCGAUACGGCAAUAGCAACUGCAGUGCACUAUUGAUCAUCAAUUGAUUCUUCACUGUGUAACCAGUUCGCAAUCAUGGUUAAUUAUGGCGUUGUGUUGCUGUUGGGUCGACCACGAGUGUACCGAUUUCUCCUGGAUACGGUGGCCCCGAGUUACUUCACCAAAGCGCCUGAGUACUACACUAAGGCUCCCAACUAUUGCACCAUCAAAGCUCCAGACUACUACACCGAGGCUCCAGUUUAUUACACCACUAAAGCAAUCGAAUACUACACCGAAGUGCCAUCGAAGUACUACACUGCAAUCUACGCUGCCCCAGCUUACACCACCAAGUGACCGGAGUACUGCACCACAACCUACGCUGCCCCAGUUCACUACGCCGCCCUGAGCUACACAACCACAUCUGAGGCAGCCGUUAUUACUGCACAGCGGCUGCUUCUUAGUACUACAUUGAACCGGAAUACUACACUGAUGCUCCAGUUUACUACACCACAACCUACGUUACACCUACCGAAGCUCCCAAGUACUACACAACCAAGGCACCCGAGCUACUACUUAGGCUGCUCCGACAUUCUGCACCAAAGCUGCGAAGUAUUCCACUGCCCCGAGUUACUACACAACAAAGGCACCUGAAUGUUACAUCACAACCUACGCUUCUCCAAUUCACUACAUAAUGGCGAAGCCAGAAAUGGAAACAGUCUAGUGCUGUUGUUUGGUGUAUCGUUGACGGUCGAGUCGUCCACUGGUGUACCGGUGCCCCUGGGUGUGGCAGAUACCAAAACCGCAAUGCUACCGUCUUACUACACAACAAACAUACGCAACCAGUUACUACACCUAAAAGGCCGUAUGUUACACAAGGACGUAUGCUACACCGGUUUACUACACCAGUUUACUACACCAGUUUACUACACCGAGGAAUUCAAGUAUUACUCUUCCCCGAACAAAUACCAAACAGAGGCUCCUGUUUACUACACCACCAUCGCCCUCGAGUGUUACACUACAACCUACGCUGCCCCCAACUACUACACUGUAGCUCCGAAGUGCUACACAUCAAUGCACAACCAAUUCGCAAUUGUUUAUUUUUACGUCGUGCUGCUGUUGGUUGUUCUAUCGUUGCCAACGUGUUGACCACUGUACCGAACUCCACCGACUUUGGG
Molecule: long non-coding RNA, 3161 nt
Organism: Daphnia pulex (common water flea)
Lineage: Eukaryota; Metazoa; Arthropoda; Branchiopoda; Diplostraca; Daphniidae
Exons: 9
Source: RefSeq, a predicted model, not a curated record